GAUGAACGCUGGCGGCGUGCCUAACACAUGCGAGUCGAACGGAACUAUUUUGGAAACUCCUUCGGGAGCGGAAUCUUUAGUUUAGUGGCGGACGGGUGAGUAACGCGUGAGCAAUCUGCCUUUAAGAGGGGGAUAACAGUCAGAAACGGCUGCUAAUACCGCAUAAGGCAUCAAAUUCGCAUGUUUUUGAUGCCAAAGGAGCAAUCCGCCUUUAGAUGAGCUCGCGUCUGAUUAGCUAGUUGGCGGGGUAACGGCCCACCAAGGCGACGACCAGUAGCCGGACUGAGAGGUUGAACGGCCACAUUGGGACGGGGACACGGCCCAGACUCCUACGGGAGACAGCAGUGGGGAAUAUUGCGCAAUGGGGGAAACCCUGACGCAGCAACGCCGCGUGAUUGAAGAAGGCCUUCGGGUUGUAAAGAUCUUUAAUCAGGGACGAAUCAAUAACGGUACCUGAAGAAUAAGCUCCGGCUAACUACGUGCCAGCCGCCGCGGUAA
RNAcentral lists this ribosomal RNA (498 nucleotides) under uncultured bacterium. RNAcentral's name for it is "partial 16S ribosomal RNA". It matches the Rfam family "Bacterial small subunit ribosomal RNA", at positions 28 to 523 of the family's 1533-position model. The record is from RNAcentral.